GGGUAUAUGGCUCAGUGGUAGAGUGCAUGCUUAGCAUGCACGAGGUCCUGGUUUCAAAUCCCAAUACCUCCA
RNAcentral lists this transfer RNA (72 nucleotides) under Camelus ferus (Wild Bactrian camel). It matches the Rfam family "tRNA". From Rfam's summary of the family: Transfer RNA (tRNA) molecules are approximately 80 nucleotides in length. Their secondary structure includes four short double-helical elements and three loops (D, anti-codon, and T loops). Further hydrogen bonds mediate the characteristic L-shaped molecular structure. tRNAs have two regions of fundamental functional importance: the anti-codon, which is responsible for specific mRNA codon recognition, and the 3' end, to which the tRNAs corresponding amino acid is attached (by aminoacyl-tRNA synthetases). tRNAs cope with the degeneracy of the genetic code in two manners: having more than one tRNA (with a specific anti-codon) for a particular amino acid; and 'wobble' base-pairing, i.e. permitting non-standard base-pairing at the 3rd anti-codon position. Lineage: Eukaryota; Metazoa; Chordata; Mammalia; Artiodactyla; Camelidae. The record is from Rfam by way of RNAcentral.